This is a long non-coding RNA of Gasterosteus aculeatus aculeatus (three-spined stickleback), 725 nucleotides long. The record is from Ensembl. Lineage: Eukaryota; Metazoa; Chordata; Actinopteri; Perciformes; Gasterosteidae.
CUCCUCAGCACCAGGCUGUGAUCGGUCUGCUGACUCUCACGUUCCUGUUGUUCUGGAGGUGAAUCGCUCUGCAACACACGCAAGACUUUACAACCAGGAAGUGAGACCAGCGCGUAAAGACCAACGUGAAGACGCAGGAACACGUCUCGGCCUCCAGUCGAGGUCUCUUCAGUGGGGAUGUGCUCACGGCUCAGGUACGAUGACCCCGUUGACCUCCUGCGGUUCCUCCUGUCGGCUCAAAGGACCCAGAGACCGAAUCAAAGAACACGUCUUUGGACGCACAAACACUCUCCUUCCACCAGUAGUCGCAGCAGGAUCUGUCCUCUGUCCUCGCAGGUCUGCAUGGUCCUGGUUCUGUGGACGUCCUCGGGGACCCUGCUGCUCAGUCGUUGGGGACGUGUUCCCGUUCCGGGGGAACCGACCGCAAAACCCUCAAAGGCCGAAGAACAAAAGCAGUGAAGGCGAUAAAUCUCCCUCUGUCCUCGGAUCAGUUCUGGUGGGAAAACAACAACACAAACAACGCCGAUGAAAACGACGGAUGAACACAAACAAUGCAACCGCGCCGACGGAUCAUGCGGAAGGGAACAUGUGACUUGGUUGUGGGCGGGGCCUCCGCGAGGGAAAGACAGACGUUCUGCACGUAGGCCCGUCGCCGGGGCGACGGACCACCAACCAGCACAAUUCCCGUCAGACGGUGACCCACAUCACACGGUCGCCAUGACGAC